CUUUUCCCAGAGUCUGUGCGGACCCGGAUGCAGCUCACGAUGGGCCUGGAGUGUCACAUGGGUGACACGCGUGUGGCCAGCGUGCGGCAGCUGUGUGCGCAGUCAGUGCUUGCUGUGAGGAUGCUGUCCUAGGCUGUCACACCCACACGUGUUCGUGGAUCGAAAGAACCCCCCCCCUCCCAGCCGGGCAUCUGUGUGAUGGGGAGACAGCAGGUCACGUCCCCGUGACCUCGGUCCCUGGAGGGAGACCCUCCGAGCCCGUGUCUUCCCCUGGAAAUCACCUCCCCAGGUCGGCGGCCGGGCACCGAGAUGCUCAGGGAAGCAGGUGGGGUGCACCCAGCCGGCGGCUAUGACAUCGAACGUCGCUGUCGUGAAGAACCCCGCUCCCGUCGGAGGCUUCCGCGCGGCCACAGCGCCCAUCUCCCCGGAGGGUCGGGGAGGCUGACGGGCGGAGGCGAGAGAAUCGGAGCCCUUCACAGGCGGCCGGCCGCACAGGAGCGAACCUCAAAAUUGAGGACAUGCGCUUGGGGCGUCCACACAGACAGGAUAAACCCAAGAAAAUUCCCAAGACAGGAGGCCACACGGAACCAGCUUGAAUGUACACCCCGAAGGCCAGCUUCAGCCUUGAGCUCACCCCGCAGUCUCCACCCCCAGCAGACAGGGGGUCCGCGGUGUGGGCCCCAGAGAACUGGCCCCUCCGCGUCUGAGUGGCACCCGCGGCUCCCGCCUCACCGGGGAGGAAGGAAAGGGGUGGGUUUGCUGGUAUCCAACACCCCGUCCGGGCGUGAGAGCCUCCCGUAGGCUGGCGCCCCAGGGCCCAGCACCCCCGUCCCCAACGCACCCCGGACGGAGCCCCGAGUCCCGUUCUCUCCAGGACCCAGCGAGCCGUGAGACCAGCCGCUCACGGGCCUGUGCGAACCACUUUACCAGCGCCGACGCCUGCUCCGUCUGCUCACCGGUGCGCACCCGGCUUAUGGCUCAGACCAGGCUCCUGUGGGAUGAAUCCAUGACACCUUCUUCGAAGCUGUCCAACAAUCCAGGUCACUCAGGAGGGUUCACACGAUGGGUACAGGUCACAUAUGUCCGAGGGGGAAAGAAAUCGGGGCCCUGGCCGGUGUGGUUCAGUGG
Molecule: long non-coding RNA, 1128 nt
Organism: Myotis brandtii (Brandt's bat)
Lineage: Eukaryota; Metazoa; Chordata; Mammalia; Chiroptera; Vespertilionidae
Exons: 3
Source: RefSeq, a predicted model, not a curated record